UCCGGUUUGUCACCGGCAGUCUCGCUAAAGUGCCCAACUCAAUGAUGGCAAUUAGCGACAAGGGUUGCGCUCGUUGCGGGACUUAACCCAACAUCUCACGACACGAGCUGACGACAGCCAUGCAGCACCUGUGUCCCGGCUCCCUUUCGGGCACCCCCGGCUCUCACCAGGGUUACGGGCAUGUCAAGGGUAGGUAAGGUUUUUCGCGUUGCAUCGAAUUAAUCCACAUCAUCCACCGCUUGUGCGGGUCCCCGUCAAUUCCUUUGAGUUUUAACCUUGCGGCCGUACUCCCCAGGCGGUCAACUUCACGCGUUAGCUGCGGUACUAAGGAAGUCACCUUCCCCAACACCUAGUUGACAUCGUUUAGGGCGUGGACUAC
Molecule: unclassified non-coding RNA, 379 nt
Filed under: uncultured Gammaproteobacteria bacterium
Lineage: Bacteria; Pseudomonadati; Pseudomonadota; Gammaproteobacteria
Description: contains 16S-23S intergenic spacer region
Source: RNAcentral